Long non-coding RNA from Engraulis encrasicolus (European anchovy), 543 nucleotides. RefSeq lists it as uncharacterized. NCBI's taxonomy places the organism in Eukaryota, Metazoa, Chordata, Actinopteri, Clupeiformes, Engraulidae. The transcript has 3 exons. The record is from RefSeq and is a predicted model, not a curated record.
UCUCAACUUAGGUUUUACAGGAAGUCAGUCAAUGCCAUUGUGAUGUUAGCCCUCAUCUUAUCUUGUAAUUUCUGUUACAUCAACUCCAGCACUCUAAUUAUGUGUUUUGUCAUAGGUGCAAAAGGCUUGUCUAAGAUACGCUGGCAGUCUACACCGCAUGGCCUGCGUUGCUGACAUUGAGUGAAAGUUCCUGUGCCUGACAUAUACUUGAGGAAGCAUCUUGGAGGUUGUCAAGGAGAAUGGAGGCAUUGCCAGAAGGAAGGACUAGAGUGGCGAAGUGAUCCAAAGGCAGACUGCACAUCUACAUAUAUGGUUUGCAAGGAACAUCCCGUGCCAGACACUGUGAUACAAGGCAUGGAGCUGUACAGUGAACUCGGAGCAUCUCUUGUGCAUGUGUGAUGCUCUUUGGACUCGGUUACCGGUAUAUACCCUCAAUCUCAACUCUGUGGAUUUGGAUUUACAAUUUUAAGUAUCCAGAUGAACUGAAAUAUAUGUUCUGGUGAAUUUGGAAAAUAUGCCCAAAAGGUUCAAUCACUAUAAACU